RNAcentral lists this transfer RNA (73 nucleotides) under Spirochaetes bacterium GWB1_59_5. RNAcentral's name for it is "tRNA-Lys". It matches the Rfam family "tRNA". From Rfam's summary of the family: Transfer RNA (tRNA) molecules are approximately 80 nucleotides in length. Their secondary structure includes four short double-helical elements and three loops (D, anti-codon, and T loops). Further hydrogen bonds mediate the characteristic L-shaped molecular structure. tRNAs have two regions of fundamental functional importance: the anti-codon, which is responsible for specific mRNA codon recognition, and the 3' end, to which the tRNAs corresponding amino acid is attached (by aminoacyl-tRNA synthetases). tRNAs cope with the degeneracy of the genetic code in two manners: having more than one tRNA (with a specific anti-codon) for a particular amino acid; and 'wobble' base-pairing, i.e. permitting non-standard base-pairing at the 3rd anti-codon position. Lineage: Bacteria; Pseudomonadati; Spirochaetota. The record is from RNAcentral.
GCCUCGGUAGCUCAGUCGGAAGAGCACUCGCCUCUUAAGCGAUAGCGCGAUGGUUCGAAUCCAUCCCGUGGCA